CCUGCCUCCGCCCCAGCAGCACACUGUGGUUUGUUCAGUGUUAUGGCCAAGUCCAAACCACACUGUGGUGUUAGAGCGAGGGUAG
MicroRNA precursor from Monodelphis domestica (gray short-tailed opossum), 85 nucleotides. It matches the Rfam family "mir-497 microRNA precursor family". The record is from Rfam. Lineage: Eukaryota; Metazoa; Chordata; Mammalia; Didelphimorphia; Didelphidae.